GCCAGCGUGGUGUAGUGGUUUGAACAUUGGACUAUGACUCUGGAGACCAGGGUUCAAUUCCUGCUUGGCU
Molecule: non-coding RNA, 70 nt
Organism: Phrynosoma platyrhinos (Desert horned lizard)
Lineage: Eukaryota; Metazoa; Chordata; Lepidosauria; Squamata; Phrynosomatidae
Source: the annotation of a GenBank genome assembly